This 247-nucleotide ribosomal RNA is filed under the name uncultured bacterium. RNAcentral describes it as "partial 16S ribosomal RNA". It matches the Rfam family "Bacterial small subunit ribosomal RNA", at positions 8 to 275 of the family's 1533-position model. The record is from RNAcentral.
AGAGUUUGAUCCUGGCUCAGAUUGAACGCUGGCGGAAUGCCUAACACACGCAAGUCGAACGGGGGUAGCAAUACUCCAGUGGCGGACGGGUGAGGAACACAUAGGAACCUGCCUUUAGGCGGGGGAUAGCUUGGGGAAACUCAAGGUAAUACCGCAUGAUCUCUAACGAGCAAAGGGGCGCAAGUCUCACCUUUAGAGGGGCCUAUGUCUGAUUAGCUAGUUGGUAGGGUAAUGGCCUACCAAGGCG